AACGAACGCUGGCGGCAGGCCUAACACAUGCAAGUCGAGCGGACCCUUCGGGGUUAGCGGCGGACGGGUGAGUAACGCGUGGGAAUAUGCCCUUCUCUACGGAAUAGUCCUGGGAAACUGGGGGUAAUACCGUAUACGCCCUUUGGGGGAAAGAUUUAUCGGGGAAGGAUUAGCCCGCGUUGGAUUAGGUAGUUGGUGGGGUAAUGGCCUACCAAGCCGACGAUCCAUAGCUGGUUUGAGAGGAUGAUCUGCCACACUGGGACUGAGACACGGCCCAGACUCCUACGGGAGGCAGCAGUGGGGAAUCUUAGACAAUGGGGGCAACCCUGAUCUAGCCAUGCCGCGUGAGUGAUGAAGGCCUUAGGGUUGUAAAGCUCUUUCAGCUGGGAAGAUAAUGACGGUACCAGCAGAAGAAGCCCCGGCUAACUCCGUG
This 433-nucleotide ribosomal RNA is filed under the name uncultured bacterium. Its description in RNAcentral is "partial 16S ribosomal RNA". It matches the Rfam family "Bacterial small subunit ribosomal RNA", at positions 29 to 507 of the family's 1533-position model. The record is from RNAcentral.